CAGAAGGAUCAUUAGUGAAGAUUCGGGGCGCCCCAUAGACACCUACAAUAUGUGUGUGUCUGGCUACUCCCAUCCUCUAUCCAUCCAUCCACGCGUGUGCUCUGGUAUAAAGGCUUCUAGAGAAGGUAGGGAAAGUCUCUUGUGCUUUGUUCAUCACUCUCUCUCCCUCUGUUUCUCUCUACCGUGAAUUACAAACUCGUAUGGAUUUGUAUGAACGUGAUACAUAUCUUUGGACCACCGAUGGCCAGGUUCUCCCACACAACUUUAAACCACCGAUCUUUUGGUUCUCCCAU
This 293-nucleotide unclassified non-coding RNA is filed under the name uncultured fungus. RNAcentral's name for it is "partial contains 18S rRNA, ITS1, 5.8S rRNA". The record is from RNAcentral. Lineage: Eukaryota; Fungi.